This 204-nucleotide ribosomal RNA is filed under the name uncultured type II methanotroph. RNAcentral describes it as "partial 16S ribosomal RNA". It matches the Rfam family "Bacterial small subunit ribosomal RNA", at positions 372 to 594 of the family's 1533-position model. Lineage: Bacteria; Pseudomonadati; Pseudomonadota; Alphaproteobacteria; Hyphomicrobiales; Methylocystaceae. The record is from RNAcentral.
UGGGCGCAGCCUGAUCCAGCCAUGCCGCGUGAGUGAUGAAGGCCCUAGGGUUGUAAAGCUCUUUCGCCAGGGACGAUAAUGACGGUACCUGGAUAAGAAGCCCCGGCUAACUUCGUGCCAGCAGCCGCGGUAAUACGAAGGGGGCUAGCGUUGUUCGGAAUCACUGGGCGUAAAGCGCACGUAGGCGGAUCUUUAAGUCAGGGG